Molecule: ribosomal RNA, 2243 nt
Filed under: Clostridioides difficile
Lineage: Bacteria; Bacillati; Bacillota; Clostridia; Peptostreptococcales; Peptostreptococcaceae
Description: bacterial LSU rRNA
Rfam family: Bacterial large subunit ribosomal RNA
Source: RNAcentral
GGAGCCGUAGCGAAAGCGAGUUUUAACUGAGCGUUCAGUUACUUGACGUAGACCCGAAACCGGGCGACCUACCCAUGAGCAGGAUGAAGCGAAAGUAAAAUUUCGUGGAGGUCCGAACCCACGAGCGUUGAAAAGCUCGGGGAUGACUUGUGGGUAGCGGUGAAAUUCCAAUCGAGCCCGGAGAUAGCUGGUUCUCCCCGAAAUAGCUUUAGGGCUAGCCUCAAGGUGAGAGAUACGGAGGUAGAGCACUGAAUGUCCUAGGGGGUAUUGCACCUACCGAAGACUAUCAAACUCCGAAUGCCGUCAUCUUAUACUUGGGAGUCAGACUGUGGGUGAUAAGAUUCAUAGUCGAAAGGGCAACAGCCCAGAUCGUCAGCUAAGGUCCCUAAAUGUAAGUUAAGUGGUAAAGGAUGUGGGAUUGCACAGACAACCAGGAUGUUGGCUUAGAAGCAGCCACUCAUUCAAAGAGUGCGUAAUAGCUCACUGGUCGAGUGAUCCUGCGCCGAAGAUUUCCGGGGCUAAAACUUACUACCGAAGCUACGGCAUCAGUAAUGAUGGGUAGGGGAGCUUCCCAUACGGGUUGAAGCAUGACCGUAAGGACAUGUGGACAGUAUGGGAGUGAGAAUGUUGGCAUGAGUAGCGAGAUGUGGGUGAGAAUCCCACAGGCCGUAAACCCAAGGUUUCCAGGGGAAGGUUCGUCCGCCCUGGGUUAGUCGGGACCUAAGCUGAGGCCGAAAGGCGUAGGUGAUGGACAACAGGUUGAUAUUCCUGUACUACCGAUAACCGUUUGAGAGAAGGGAUGACACAGUAGGAUAAGCUAAGCACACUGUUGGUUAUGUGUGCCCAAGCAUUGAGGCAGUCAAAGUAGGCAAAUCCGCUUUGAUAAUGCUGGGAUGUGAUGGGGAGCGAAAUUUAGUAGCGAAGUAGCUGAUUUCACACUGUCAAGAAAAGUCUCUAUCGAGGUUAAAGGUACCCGUACCGCAAACCGACACAGGUGGGUGAGGAGAGUAUCCUAAGGCCAGCGAGAGAACUGUUGUUAAGGAACUCGGCAAAAUGACCCCGUAACUUAGGGAUAAGGGGUGCCACCAUCAGGUGGCCGCAGAGAAUAGGCCCAAGCGACUGUUUACCAAAAACAUAGGUUUCUGCUAAGUCGCAAGACGAUGUAUAGGAGCUGACGCCUGCCCGGUGCUGGAAGGUUAAGGGGAUCUGUUAGAGCAAUCGAAGCAGUGAACUUAAGCCCCAGUAAACGGCGGCCGUAACUAUAACGGUCCUAAGGUAGCGAAAUUCCUUGUCGGGUAAGUUCCGACCCGCACGAAAGGCGUAACGAUUUGGGCACUGUCUCAACAACAGACUCGGUGAAAUUGUAAUUCCGGUGAAGAUGCCGGAUACCUGCGACAGGACGGAAAGACCCCAUGGAGCUUUACUGUAGCUUGACAUUGGGUCUUGGUACUACAUGUACAGGAUAGGUGGGAGGCUUUGAAACCAGGACGCCAGUUUUGGCGGAGCCAUCCUUGGGAUACCACCCUUGUAGUACUGGGACUCUAACCAUAGGCCAUGAAUCUGGUCUUGGGACACUGUCAGGUGGGCAGUUUGACUGGGGCGGUCGCCUCCCAAAAGGUAACGGAGGCGCUCAAAGGUUCUCUCAGUACGGUCGGAAAUCGUACGUAGAGUGUAAAGGCAAAAGAGAGCUUGAUUGCAAGACAUACAGGUCGAGCAAGGAUGAAAAUCGGACUUAGUGAUCCGGUGGUUCUGCGUGGAAGGGCCAUCGCUCAACGGAUAAAAGCUACCCUGGGGAUAACAGGCUUAUCUCCCCCAAGAGUCCACAUCGACGGGGAGGUUUGGCACCUCGAUGUCGGCUCAUCACAUCCUGGGGCUGUAGUAGGUCCCAAGGGUUGGGCUGUUCGCCCAUUAAAGUGGUACGCGAGCUGGGUUCAGAACGUCGUGAGACAGUUCGGUCCCUAUCCGUCGCAGGCGUAGGAAAUUUGAGAAGACCUGUCCUUAGUACGAGAGGACCGGGAUGGACGUACCUCUGGUGUACCAGUUGUUCUGCCAAGGGCAUGGCUGGGUAGCUAUGUACGGAAUGGAUAAGCGCUGAAAGCAUCUAAGCGCGAAGCCAACUUCAAGAUAAGAUUUCCCACCGCAAGGGUAAGACCCCAGAAAGACUAUCUGGUUGAUAGGUCGAAGGUGUAAGUGCAGCAAUGUAUUUAGCUUAUCGAUACUAAUAGGUCGAGGACUUGACCAAU